UGGCGAGCUGAAAAAAGAAAAAAAAACACACUAUUAACACUUCACGAUCAAUUUAUCAACAUUUUACAAUCAGAUCGUCGCUAAAUUUCAUACUCAACGGUCAAAAGUAAAAACUAACGGUCCGAGAAUGGUUACAUUACCUUUAUCAGAGGGUUGAGGUUCGUUCAACAAUUGGAAACUAUAACCUCCGGGAGCUUUAACAGUAACACAACCGUCUUUUUCCUCGAUCGGCCAGUCGUGCUUUUUCGCAUUGGCUAUCGCUUCGCUGGAUUUUAUAGUCAGACCUAAGAAAUCGUUGCCUAAAUCGUAAGUAUUCACGUUGUAAUUGUACGUUAGUUCGACUACGAAAUGAGUAUCUUCGAUUCCAUAUCCAACCAUGGUUUUACUCCAACGAUUAUCGUACGGUCUGUAAAGUAAAUAUUGGUCAAUUUAAGAUAUCAGUACGUGUGUCUUGGAACGGGAACUAAGCCGGAUAUUUACCCGUUGCAUUUCGCAUCGCAGCCUUCGGUGAAUUCUUCGUGUCGAAGGAUCUGUUAAAAUUAAUACAAAGAUUGUAUGAUACGUUUAUGAUGAGUAAAAUGAUGUGGAUUUGACUGGGUAGAUACUUACUUUCAUUCCGAGAACAUCCUUGUAGAAUUUAAUAGUACGGGCUCUGUCACCGACUUUCAAUACGAAAUGUAAAGCUCUACCGGUUAAAUUCAUCGUGCGAUUUGGAAGAUUACAAAAAUUGGAAGAUUCAAAGGCCUUAGACGUAGGAAUAAAGAAGCUGCAAAGUUAUACAAUUAUUUUGUGGUGCUAUGAAUUUUGAUGACGGUAGAUGGUUUACGUAUUCAUUUAGCGGAUAAUUACAGAAUAAUGUGUAACCAGGAGAUGAUUAAUAACAUUUUUACGUCACUUGGAAAAUUUUAUGCAAUUGUUAUCAUUUUUUUAAUCAGCUGGUUCAUGGAUGUGUUGUAAUUUUGUCGUAAAAAUAUCGACUUAGCUAACUAUCGAUUUUGUACCGAUAGGUAUUAUACAUUUUUAGUCGAAUAGGUAGGAAUACGUUAUAAUACGGUUUCGUUUCUGUUUAAGUUACUUUACUAGUUGUAACGUAUUUUAGUUACUGGUUUUAAGCUUUUGAGCUUUUGUAAAGCUCGCCUUGCUUUUUGUUAUUUAUUCUUAUUAUGUUAAUAAACGUUAAAGCGUAA
Planococcus citri (citrus mealybug) is the source of this 1187-nucleotide long non-coding RNA. RefSeq lists it as uncharacterized. The record is from RefSeq and is a predicted model, not a curated record. The transcript has 2 exons. Lineage: Eukaryota; Metazoa; Arthropoda; Insecta; Hemiptera; Pseudococcidae.